UACGUAGGGUGCGAGCGUUAAUCGGAAUUACUGGGCGUAAAGCGUGCGCAGGCGGUUGUGCAAGACCGAUGUGAAAUCCCCGGGCUCAACCUGGGAAUGGCAUUGGUGACUGUACGGCUAGAGUGUGUCAGAGGGGGGGUAGAAUUCCACGUGUAGCAGUGAAAUGCGUAGAGAUGUGGAGGAAUACCGAUGGCGAAGGCAGCCCCCUGGGAUAACACUGACGCUCAUGCACGAAAGCGUGGGGAGCAAACAGG
Molecule: ribosomal RNA, 254 nt
Filed under: uncultured bacterium
Lineage: Bacteria
Description: partial 16S ribosomal RNA
Rfam family: Bacterial small subunit ribosomal RNA
Source: RNAcentral